UUGAAAGGGAAACGAUUGAAGUCAGUCGUACCAGCGGGAAUCAGCCUUUCGAGUGGGGNUUUUGGAGUUUUUUGAAGAGUGUCAAAACCUUUGAGAUUUCAAAAUAUUCGCUCUUUUGGUGUACUUUCUCGUGGGUAGGUUAACAUCGAUUUUGAUCAUCAUAAAAAGAUUGGAGGAAUGUAGCUUCGAUCUUGUAUUGAAGUGUUAUAGCCUUUGGUAAAUGUGAUGAUUAGGAUCGAGGAUUGCAACGAAUACCCUUUUGGGCUAUCCGCCUGAUCUCUGAUACGUGGCCUUGGUAUCGAAAGCUUGCUUAUGGUAUUAAGGUAUUACGGUCAAAAGGUUAGAACGGAUUACAUUCGUUAAGGAUGUUGACGUA
Molecule: ribosomal RNA, 376 nt
Filed under: uncultured Glomeromycotina
Lineage: Eukaryota; Fungi; Glomeromycota
Description: LSU rRNA
Source: RNAcentral